Molecule: unclassified non-coding RNA, 289 nt
Filed under: Hevea brasiliensis (rubber tree)
Lineage: Eukaryota; Viridiplantae; Streptophyta; Magnoliopsida; Malpighiales; Euphorbiaceae
Source: RNAcentral
CCCGUUUUUUGGAGACUCGCUUUAGAGACCGGAGAAUAAAGCCACUGCGGGGUAGGGGCGGCAGUGGAAAGCGAGGCUUUUAAACGACACACGCUCAGUGCGUGACGAUAUUCGCGGUCGCAGAGAGCGACCGUUNCUGAUAGCGAUUGAAUGUGGAAAGCUAAGCGACCUCGUCAGUCCAGACCUUGAAGCUAACGAGCGCAUUCGGCCCGAAGGUCUGCGUGAUCGGAACGUCGGACGCGUCGCGCCCCUGCGCUAUCAAGACACGGCCGAUCCGCGGCACGUUGUU